GAUGAACGCUGGCGGCAGGCUUAAUACAUGCAAGUCGAACGGUAACAGUACUAGCAAUAGUAGCUGACGAGUGGCGCACGGGUGCGUAACGCGUAUGCAACCUACCCAUAAUUGGAACAUAACGUUGAGAAAUUAACGCUAAUAUUUCAUGUGAAUAUGAAGAGGCAUCUUUUUAUAUUUAAAGAUUCAUUGAUUAUGGAUGGGCAUGCGUAUCAUUAGCUAGUUGGUGAGGUAACGGCUCACCAAGGCAACGAUGAUUAGGGGUUCUGAGAGGAUAUCCCCCCACACUGGAACUGAGACACGGUCCAGACUCCUACGGGAGGCAGCAGUAGGGAAUAUUGGGCAAUGGAAGCAAUUCUGACCCAGCCAUGCCGCGUGAAGGAAUACAGCCCUAUGGGUUUUAAACUUCUUUUAUUAUAGAUUAACCGGAGGUACGUGUACCUCCCUGCAAGUAUAUGAUGAAUAAGGAUCGGCUAACUCCGUG
This 484-nucleotide ribosomal RNA is filed under the name uncultured organism. Its description in RNAcentral is "bacterial SSU rRNA". It matches the Rfam family "Bacterial small subunit ribosomal RNA", at positions 28 to 507 of the family's 1533-position model. The record is from RNAcentral.